This is a long non-coding RNA of Oreochromis aureus, 660 nucleotides long. RefSeq lists it as uncharacterized. The record is from RefSeq and is a predicted model, not a curated record. The transcript has 2 exons. NCBI's taxonomy places the organism in Eukaryota, Metazoa, Chordata, Actinopteri, Cichliformes, Cichlidae.
UAAGACACAGAAAAGAGGAACUUUCCAUAUAAGCAAUGUUUGAGACUGUGUGACGUGUAAAGUACCAAAAUAACACCUAUAUGAGACACAGCUUAUGAUUCUAAUGUUAGAGCUCUUUCAACUGGCGUUUGAGCUGUGCAGGGGUCUCUCUCUUCCGGAAGAUGAUUGAAUAAAUGUCAUGGCCUGGGUCUAGGGACCCAGGGCUCAUGUAUGUUUAGUGUAUGUUUAUGUUUAUAUUUUCCGUGUGGUGUUUGGUUUGCUCUCCUUUUUCUCCAUGUUUCUCCGUGUGAGCUUCCGGAGGUUUUGGUUCGCUGAGGAGACUGCGAACCCGGAAGUGUUUCUGCUCCAGAGACAGCCACACCUGCCGCUCGUCGUCCUCUGCCAGCUGCAGUAGAUUACGCUCGUCGAGGGAGCGGCAUUUAAGACUGUAGCUGAGCUGAGGCCAACGCUGGAUCCUUGAGUCAGAACUCGAAUCUGGAGCGGAGUGUGCUUUGAGGUCACGGUGUGGGAAUAGGAGUUUUUUGGAGUCGCCACUCUUCACUUUUCACGGACAUCUGCACUGUGUGGAAUUCAGGGAGAAUCGCCACGGGACCACAGUGCCUGGAUUUUGUAUAUAGUUGUGUGUUUUCCACCCCCUGUAAAUAAAUCCACUGUCCUUCA